RNAcentral lists this long non-coding RNA (1076 nucleotides) under Gossypium raimondii (Peruvian cotton). Its description in RNAcentral is "long non-coding RNA (GRAI_LNC007727)". Lineage: Eukaryota; Viridiplantae; Streptophyta; Magnoliopsida; Malvales; Malvaceae. The record is from RNAcentral.
AUUAAUCAUGUUAAAAUAUUAUGUUCAAUCCAUAAACAAUUAUUGAGUACUUACUCAUCUUGGCAGUAAUCUGAAGCAUAGCCGGAACUUGGUGUGCAAGGACAACAACCUCGUAAGAACUCCCUUGGAACUUCUCUAUAUGCUUUUCUAUUUUUUCCUAAUCUGGAAACAUAACAUCAUUAACUUAAAUAAGCAAAUGUUAGAAUCAUUUGGCAGUAACUAGUUGAAACAACUCUUGGCAAAAGAUAGAACUAACGAUCUGACUAUUUUGAACUAUAUAGCAGUAAGUUUUCUGGUCAAUUUAUAACUAGUUCCAGUAACUUUAAAUGGUCGAAUAUCCGUAGUAGUGCUUUUCUAUUUUUUCCUAAUCUGAAAACAUAUCAUCAUCAACUUAAAUAAGAAAAUGUUAGAAUCAUCUUGACAAUAUCUAGUUGAAACAACUCUUGUCAAAAGAUAAAACUAUGUGAAUAUUUUUAACUAGAUAGCAGCAAGCUUUUUGGUCAAUUUCUAACUAAUUGCAGCAACUUUAAAUGGUCGAAUAUCAGCAGAAAUCUUAAAAGCAAACGUAUAGCCAAUGGUGCUAAAGCUUGAAGGUAAUCCAGUGCACAAUAUUUGGAGACCAAGCUGCAAGUUGGGGUAGGUAACAACAGCUUGUUUCUUUCUUUUCCUUUGUCAAACGGUGCAAGGAGGGGCAGAAAUGUAUUGAAAUUGAUUUGGUGAAUGAGCAACAAGCUAGCAUCCUCCUCCAAGCCGUGUAUGAUAUAUGGUGAAAAAAAUGAAAAUGUUUUCUAUCUUGUCCCCGUAUUUCCUCAUCCUCUUGACAACUAAAGAAAUCACCAAAUGGGCAUCAUUAACUCAGCAAAUACAGCUGCAAUUUUAAGCAGCAAAACAUACCAAAACAGAGCAGCAAGCAGCUUCAAAAAUAAUGGUAUUAAUCAAGGCAUAAUCAACAAGUAGCUAAGAAAUGCUAAUGGAAGUACUCUUCUUUUUCCAAGAAAUUAAUAGCAAUAUUUGAAACUAUAUUGCCAUUUUAUUUGCUUCGGUGCUAGUUGCUCAUUCAGCAGCUAAGUUCCAAG